RNAcentral lists this ribosomal RNA (514 nucleotides) under uncultured bacterium. RNAcentral's name for it is "bacterial SSU rRNA". It matches the Rfam family "Bacterial small subunit ribosomal RNA", at positions 335 to 865 of the family's 1533-position model. The record is from RNAcentral.
UCUCCUACGGGAGGCAGCAGUGGGGAAUUUUGGGCAAUGGGCGAAAGCCUGACCCAGCGACGCCGCGUUGGGGAUGAAGUCCUUCGGGGCGUAAACCCAUGUUGUAGGGGAAGAAGAAAGUGACGGUACCCUACGAGAAAGCCCCGGCCAACUACGUGCCAGCAGCCGCGGUAAAACGUAGGGGGCGAGCGUUGUCCGGAAUUACUGGGCGUAAAGGGCAUGCAGGCGGUGCGCCAAGUCGGGGGUGUAAAGUUACGGCUCAACCGUGACCUUGCAAUCGAAACUGGCGCACUGGAGUGCGGGAGAGGGAAGUGGAAUUCCCGGUGUAGCGGUGAAAUGCGUAGAUAUCGGGAGGAACGCCAGUGGCGAAGGCGGCUUCCUGGCCCGCGACUGACGCUCAUGUGCGAAAGCCAGGGGAGCGAACCGGAUUAGAUACCCGGGUAGUCCUGGCCGUAAACGAUGGGUGCUAGGUGUAGGCGCGUCAAGCGUCUGUGCCGAAGUUAACGCGAUAAGC